RNAcentral lists this transfer RNA (72 nucleotides) under Bacteroidota bacterium. RNAcentral's name for it is "Bacteroidetes bacterium tRNA-Arg". It matches the Rfam family "tRNA". From Rfam's summary of the family: Transfer RNA (tRNA) molecules are approximately 80 nucleotides in length. Their secondary structure includes four short double-helical elements and three loops (D, anti-codon, and T loops). RNAcentral also lists the same sequence under 1 other name. Lineage: Bacteria; Pseudomonadati; Bacteroidota. The record is from RNAcentral.
GGCCCCUUAGUUCAACGGAUAGAAUGGAGGUUUCCUAAACCUUAGAUACAGGUUCGAUUCCUGUAGGGGCUA